UACGUAGGGGGCGAGCGUUAUCCGGAAUUAUUGGGCGUAAAGAGCUUGUAGGCGGUUUGUCGCGUCUGCUGUGAAAAUCCGGGGCUCAACCCCGGACUUGCAGUGGGUACGGGCAGACUAGAGUGUGGUAGGGGAGACUGGAAUUCCUGGUGUAGCGGUGAAAUGCGCAGAUAUCAGGAGGAACACCGAUGGCGAAGGCAGGUCUCUGGGCCACUACUGACGCUGAGAAGCGAAAGCAUGGGGAGCGAACAGGAUUAGAUACCCCGGUAGU
This 271-nucleotide ribosomal RNA is filed under the name uncultured prokaryote. RNAcentral's name for it is "partial 16S ribosomal RNA". It matches the Rfam family "Bacterial small subunit ribosomal RNA", at positions 524 to 794 of the family's 1533-position model. The record is from RNAcentral.